CAUGAAUAAUAAAGCCACAUGCAGAUACAGUGAUGGUGUGAACAUCCGCAACGUAGUGGCAGCAUAACAUUCUCGCACCGAAAGGCGAACCGUAUUAACGAGGCAUCUGAUUGGCCAGAACGAAAGUUAUUUUUUUAAUACCGGACACAUUCGUUUUGAACUAUUGAGAGGUUUCUAGUCUUUCAGAACUUGUCAAAAUUGUAUUUUUAUACCACUUAGAGAACCAGUCGUAUGAAGUUAUAUGUAUACUGCACGUGCUGUACAAUUACAGAAAUAAUAUACAUAAAGAUAUUACUCGACUGUGAUUGGUUGAUUUCAGUGCAGUUAAUCCCAAACAGUAGUGCAAUUUUCUGUAAUCACAGUGCAAUUUUUUGUAAUCACAGUGCAAUUUUCUGUAAUCACAGUGCAAUUUUCUGUAAUCACAG
Paramuricea clavata is the source of this 425-nucleotide non-coding RNA. The record is from the annotation of a GenBank genome assembly. Lineage: Eukaryota; Metazoa; Cnidaria; Anthozoa; Malacalcyonacea; Plexauridae.